This 450-nucleotide ribosomal RNA is filed under the name uncultured Glomeromycotina. RNAcentral describes it as "SSU rRNA". It matches the Rfam family "Eukaryotic small subunit ribosomal RNA", at positions 569 to 1016 of the family's 1831-position model. RNAcentral also lists the same sequence under 1 other name. The record is from RNAcentral. Lineage: Eukaryota; Fungi; Glomeromycota.
AGCAGCCGCGGUAAUUCCAGCUCCAAUAGCGUAUAUUAAAGUUGUUGCAGUUAAAAAGCUCGUAGUUGAAUUUCGGGAUUGACGUAAUGGUCAUGCCUUAAGGGGUAUGAACUGUUACUGUUGAUUUCUCACCUUCUGGAGAAACUUGAUGUCCUUUAUUGGGUGUCUUGCGGAUCCAGGACCUUUACCUUGAAAAAAUUAGAGUGUUUAAAGCAGGCAUUUUUGCUCGAAUACAUUAGCAUGGAAUAAUAGAAUAGGACGGCAUGGUUCUAUUUUGUUGGUUUCUAGGAUCACCGUAAUGAUUAAUAGGGAUAGUUGGGGGCAUUAGUAUUCAAUUGUCAGAGGUGAAAUUCUUGGAUUUAUUGAAGACUAACUACUGCGAAAGCAUUUGCCAAGGAUGUUUUCAUUAAUCAAGAACGAAAGUUAGGGGAUCGAAGACGAUCAGAUACC